This 425-nucleotide ribosomal RNA is filed under the name Lysinibacillus xylanilyticus. RNAcentral describes it as "bacterial SSU rRNA". It matches the Rfam family "Bacterial small subunit ribosomal RNA", at positions 78 to 491 of the family's 1533-position model. The record is from RNAcentral. Lineage: Bacteria; Bacillati; Bacillota; Bacilli; Caryophanales; Bacillaceae.
GCUUGCUCCUUUGCGUUACGGCGGACGGGUGAGUACACGUGGGCACCUACCUUAUAGUUUGGGAUAACUCCGGGAAACCGGGGCUAAUACCGAAUAAUCUGUUCCACCUCAUGGUGGAACACUGAAAGACGGUUUCGGCUGUCGCUAUAGGAUGGGCCCGCGGCGCAUUAGCUAGUUGGUGAGGUAACGGCUCACCAAGGCGACGAUGCGUAGCCGACCUGAGAGGGUGAUCGGCCACACUGGGACUGAGACACGGCCCAGACUCCUACGGGAGGCAGCAGUAGGGAAUCUUCCACAAUGGGCGAAAGCCUGAUGGAGCAACGCCGCGUGAGUGAAGAAGGUUUUCGGAUCGUAAAACUCUGUUGUAAGGGAAGAACAAGUACAGUAGUAACUGGCUGUACCUUGACGGUACCUUAUUAGAAAGC